This 433-nucleotide ribosomal RNA is filed under the name uncultured bacterium. RNAcentral describes it as "partial 16S ribosomal RNA". It matches the Rfam family "Bacterial small subunit ribosomal RNA", at positions 29 to 507 of the family's 1533-position model. The record is from RNAcentral.
AGCGAACGCUGGCGGCAGGCCUAACACAUGCAAGUCGAACGAACUCUUCGGAAUUAGUGGCGGACGGGGGUGGAACGCGGGGGAACGGGCCGGUUGGUUCGGGAUAACUCAGGUAAACUGGUGCUAAUACAGGAUGUGCCCUUCGGGGAAAAGAUUUAUCGCCAUUGGAGCGGCCCGCGUCUGAUUAGCUAGUUGGGGAGGUAACGGCUCACCAAGGCGACGCUCAGUAGCUGGUCUGAGAGGAUGACCAGCCACACUGGGACUGGGACACGGCCCAGACUACUACGGGAGGCAGGAGUGGGGAAUCUUGCGCAAUGGGCGAAAGCCUGACGCAGCCAGGCCGGGUGAAUGAUGUAGGUCUUAGGAUUGUAAAAUUCUUUCACCCGGGACGAUAAUGACGGUACCCGGAGAAGAAGCCCCGGCUAACUUCGUG